RNAcentral lists this ribosomal RNA (197 nucleotides) under uncultured bacterium. Its description in RNAcentral is "partial 16S ribosomal RNA". It matches the Rfam family "Bacterial small subunit ribosomal RNA", at positions 328 to 539 of the family's 1533-position model. The record is from RNAcentral.
ACGCUCGACACCUACGGAGGCAGCAGUGGGGAAUAUUGCACAAUGGGGGGAACCCUGAUGCAGCGACGCCGCGUGAGUGAAGAAGUACUUCGGUAUGUAAAGCUCUAUCAGCAGGGAAGAAAAUGACGGUACCUGACUAAGAAGCCCCGGCUAACUACGUGCCAGCAGCCGCGGUAAUCUGAGCGGGCUGGCAAGGC